UGCAUUAUAAAAAAGGAAGCUAUGAAAUAGUUCUGUAUCUAGAAAACGUCUCAUAAAACGAUUUAUUUAACUAGAGGAAGAAAGACAUUCAUCAGUCCUUAGCAGACUGCUUCAUUGUAAAGACAUAAUGUGUAUUGAACAUGGAAAAUACAGAUAAACAAGUGGCUGAACCAUUACUGCAAAAGUUUACAAUUCUGUCUAUUAAGGGUCUAGGACAUUAUCGUUGUAAUAUAAAGAAGUUGCAAGCAUACCUGAAUGGCAAUCAUGUAACAGUGUCUCCAAAUAUUCUACCAGCUGACCAAGACUCUUGGACUGGAAAUACAAAUCAAACUAUCUUCACCCGUCAAUCGAAACCAAUGUCAACAAAAUUCUUCUCAGCCGUUCCACAAUUGUCAGGCAAUGAGCAGAUUUAUCGCCAUUCGUCGUGUGCACCUCAAACAGUGAGACAGAGAAAGGACAUUUCUCCUCUUAAUAUAUUAGAAUAUAGGUCCUGUUGUACAAAAUGAGUCUGUGGCGAGUGCGGUCUCAUGGUGUUUGAAGUGGAUUUCGCCUUUAUCUGCAAUGUGUGUGGUCAGUUGAUUCACAAAGGCUGCACAGACCUAUGCAAACACAGCCAUGAAUGCGUUCUUUGUGGUGGAGACCCCAACCGUAUAUAUCCGUUUUGCCACAUUAACAACUUGUCACAAUUAAUCAACGGCGAGGAUAACGGAAAAAAGAUAUUCAAAGCUCCAACAAAAACGCAUGCGGAGAAAUGUUUCCCAAUAAUAACCCGUCUACAUUGCCUUGUCGCAACCGAGGAGCGUCAUGCGACAGGCAAACUUUUCGAAAAUGGGGCAAGGGCAAGAUUGUAAACGCAAGUCUGAAGAUAUCUUACUACAGUUGAGUAAAAGAAGGAAGAUUGAAACUGAAAAACGAUUAGCGCGAAGAAACACACGGAACAAGCGGAUGCACGAAUUCAAAAAAUGGAAUCCAAACAGUUUUCCGAGAUAAAAUUGAACGCAACUGGUAACAAGCUUAAAGGUUCACAUAUACUAACGGAAACAAGUUUAGCUACAUGUGUUCACAUGCAUAUAAAUAUUGACACAUUAAAAUUGUUUCCAAUAUAUUUUUUAAUAUUGAAUGAUUAACCAUUAAGCCACA
Molecule: long non-coding RNA, 1140 nt
Organism: Dreissena polymorpha
Lineage: Eukaryota; Metazoa; Mollusca; Bivalvia; Myida; Dreissenidae
Exons: 6
Source: RefSeq, a predicted model, not a curated record